AGUGUUGAGCCGGGAUUUAGCGGGUUACUUUGAUGUGGUAACGUUCGAGGGUUUUAACCUCUCCAGCACUU
RNAcentral lists this transfer RNA (71 nucleotides) under Argopecten purpuratus. Its description in RNAcentral is "tRNA-Ile". The record is from RNAcentral. Lineage: Eukaryota; Metazoa; Mollusca; Bivalvia; Pectinida; Pectinidae.